UUCUUAUUGGAUGAUGACUGCCACUCACGUGUCACGUUUUGAUUGAAUGUCAACUCGAUGAAAGAUGAAAUGCAUUGAUAUUUUCAUUGACCAAUCAGAAUAUGACACGUGAUAUCAGCAUAA
Molecule: non-coding RNA, 123 nt
Organism: Glycine soja
Lineage: Eukaryota; Viridiplantae; Streptophyta; Magnoliopsida; Fabales; Fabaceae
Source: Rfam